This 497-nucleotide ribosomal RNA is filed under the name uncultured bacterium. RNAcentral describes it as "partial 16S ribosomal RNA". It matches the Rfam family "Bacterial small subunit ribosomal RNA", at positions 28 to 507 of the family's 1533-position model. The record is from RNAcentral.
GAUGAACGCUGGCGGCGUGCCUAAUACAUGCAAGUCGAGCGAACAGACGAGGAGCUUGCUCCUCUGACGUUAGCGGCGGACGUGUGAGUAACACGUGGAUAACCUACCUAUAAGACUGGGAUAACUUCGGGAAACCGGAGCUAAUACCGGAUAAUAUAUUGAACCGCAUGGUUCAAUAGUGAAAGACGGUUUUGCUGUCACUUAUAGAUGGAUCCGCGCCGCAUUAGCUAGUUGGUAAGGUAACGGCUUACCAAGGCAACGAUGCGUAGCCGACCUGAGAGGGUGAUAGGCCACACUGGAACUGAGACACGGUCCAGACUCCUACGGGAGGCAGCAGUAGGGAAUCUUCCGCAAUGGGCGAAAGCCUGACGGAGCAACGCCGCGUGAGUGAUGAAGGUCUUCGGAUCGUAAAACUCUGUUAUUAGGGAAGAACAAAUGUGUAAGUAACUAUGCACGUCUUGACGGUACCUAAUCAGAAAGCCACGGCUAACUACGUG